GUCUCCAGUAGCUCAGUGGUUAGAGCAUCCGGUUAGAUCCCGGAGGGUCGUGAGUUCAAAUCCCAUCUGGGGCU
This 74-nucleotide transfer RNA is filed under the name Acropora cervicornis. Its description in RNAcentral is "tRNA-Ser". It matches the Rfam family "tRNA". From Rfam's summary of the family: Transfer RNA (tRNA) molecules are approximately 80 nucleotides in length. Their secondary structure includes four short double-helical elements and three loops (D, anti-codon, and T loops). The record is from RNAcentral. Lineage: Eukaryota; Metazoa; Cnidaria; Anthozoa; Scleractinia; Acroporidae.